RNAcentral lists this ribosomal RNA (253 nucleotides) under uncultured bacterium. Its description in RNAcentral is "partial 16S ribosomal RNA". It matches the Rfam family "Bacterial small subunit ribosomal RNA", at positions 524 to 776 of the family's 1533-position model. The record is from RNAcentral.
UACGUAGGUGGCAAGCGUUGUCCGGAGUUAUUGGGCGUAAAGCGCGCGCAGGCGGUUUCUUAAGUCUGAUGUGAAAGCCCCCGGCUCAACCGGGGAGGGUCAUUGGAAACUGGGGAACUUGAGUGCAGAAGAGAAAAGCGGAAUUCCACGUGUAGCGGUGAAAUGCGUAGAGAUGUGGAGGAACACCAGUGGCGAAGGCGGCUUUUUGGUCUGUAACUGACGCUGAGGAGCGAAAGCGUGGGGAGCGAACAGG